RNAcentral lists this long non-coding RNA (532 nucleotides) under Chinchilla lanigera (long-tailed chinchilla). RNAcentral describes it as "lncRNA (ENSCLAG00000029255.1)". Lineage: Eukaryota; Metazoa; Chordata; Mammalia; Rodentia; Chinchillidae. The record is from RNAcentral.
GUGGGUGAGGGACUCCAAAGAGAACCACGAGUGGAAGAAGCAGUGAAGAAAGUAGCAGGGGAGAAAAAUCAAAUAGACGGAGGAAGAAUGUUGAUCAGCAGAGAUGAGGACCCCAAAACAGGGAGAGGAGCCGGAAAAGGGAGGAGCUUAGAGCUGGAGGAGCGGAGAGGAGAGGUGAUCCACCGCCGAGGCGGACAGCAACGUGUGUCCUCUGCUGCCAUCUCCUGAACCCUGUCCUCCGAAUGCGAUGCUCUCCCAUGCUUUAGCCUUGAACUUCUUGACAAUACCCACUGCUUUUCUUUAUCACCUCCGGCAUGGCUUUGACCAUGCAUGCGUCUCUGUGUACCCUGCAGACCUCCCCCAGGAGCCCUACAAUCACCCCAAGUCUGCUGGGACAUCGGACAGGUCACAGUCGGCAUGUGACUUCCUGAGAUCUGGAAAUGACUUCCUGUGUAGGUCACAGUUGUCUCAGGUAGUCGAGAAGCCUGGAAGAGGAACGCAAGGGAUUCGGAAAUGGCUGUUACUCAGGUAA